CCUACGGGUGUGCAGCAGUAGGGAAAUUUUCACAAUGGGAGAAAGCUUGAAGGAGCAAAGCAGAGUGCAGGAUGAAGGCCUUAGGGUUGUAAACUGCUUUUAUACGCGAGAAAUAUGAUGGUAACUUAUGAAUAAGGAUCGGCUAACCACGUGACAGCAGGCGCGGUCAUACGUAGGAUCCGAGCAUUAUCCGGAUUGCCUGGGUGUACAGAGUUGCGUAGGUGGCAUGAUAAGUAGCUAGUGAAAUCUGGUGGCUCAACCAGUCAGACUGUUAGCUACACUGUUAAGCUCGAGCCCGUUAGGGGUAACUGGAAUGUCUAGUGUAGGAGUGAAAUCCGUAGAUAUUAGAAGGAACACCAAUGGCGUAGGCAGGUUACUGGGACGGUUCUGACACUAAGGCACGAAAGCGUAGGGAGCAAACGGGAUUAGAUACCCUUGUAGUC
Molecule: ribosomal RNA, 443 nt
Filed under: uncultured bacterium
Lineage: Bacteria
Description: partial 16S ribosomal RNA
Rfam family: Bacterial small subunit ribosomal RNA
Source: RNAcentral